GGCACAGUAACGAACUAAUUCCAAGGAUUCAGUUCCAAUCGCAACCUCAAAGUACAAACACCUAGCAAACUAUGGUUUGAGUCUUCAACGGAACCCAUUUGGCAUAUUGGGUGAACACACAUCACACAAACAACUCUCCUCCGCUCGUGCAUAUGAGUGGACUGCACACCCAAACACCCUACGAAAACCGGAGAGUGCAUCACAUUUAAUGGAAGUAUAACUGCAUGUUU
Molecule: long non-coding RNA, 230 nt
Filed under: Carica papaya (papaya)
Lineage: Eukaryota; Viridiplantae; Streptophyta; Magnoliopsida; Brassicales; Caricaceae
Description: long non-coding RNA (CPAP_LNC016393)
Source: RNAcentral